GCCCCGGUAGCUCAGUGGUAGAGCGACGGCUUUGUAAGCCGUAGGUCAUGGGUUCAACCCCCAUCCGGGGCUCCA
RNAcentral lists this transfer RNA (75 nucleotides) under archaeon 13_1_20CM_2_51_12. Its description in RNAcentral is "tRNA-Thr". It matches the Rfam family "tRNA". Rfam says of the family: Transfer RNA (tRNA) molecules are approximately 80 nucleotides in length. Their secondary structure includes four short double-helical elements and three loops (D, anti-codon, and T loops). The record is from RNAcentral. RNAcentral also lists the same sequence under 6 other names.